GGCAUAAUGGUGGUGGUGGGGGGGGGGGGGGGGUGUUGUACACAGAGGGCUCCUGUUCCAGAUCUGUCACCCUAGCUUCUCUCUUCCCAACCAGAUAUGCUGCCAGAGAGGCUCUGAGAUCCACAAGAAGUGCAUCAGCCAGGAGGCAUCUGGAUCAAAAGCUGGUGAGGUUUGUGCUCCAGCUGUAACACCACAAGUGACCACGGCAGUUAGUGCCUGAGAACACAAGGCACACUCAGCAAAACGGGAAAGGGAAAGAAGCGCCCGCCAGGAGCAGAUGGAGGAAGAGCAGCAGACCUCAAGUUCUACCGCAUGGUGGCAGCAAGUGCCCGGUCAUCUGAAGGUUCUACUUCACCCCGGGAGACCACAGCAUCUGUAGAAAUUGUCAGCCAGUGAGGCGCGUCUAGAUUUCCAACCUCCUCUAUCUGUCUAAAGAACGUAUAGGAAGUGAAGACCAGCUGUCAAAUCAUUGAAAAGGACUUUAGGACUUUAAACUGUCCUUGCUUAGCCUCAAUUGUCCUAUCUUUAUAAUGGACAUAUUAAUAUUCCUUCAAAAUAUAUGACAUCAUUUGAAAACUGGCUGCAAAAUAAUUUAAAAGGAAAGGUUCCAAAUGCUUCAGAAACAAACUACGGGGAAGACUUUUUGAGGUGAGGAUAGAGACCAGUGUUUGAGGUGGAAGUGAGCUAAGGUUGGAGCUGUAGGACCUUCUAGUUUACUCAUAUUUACUGAGCAACUCCUAUCUGCCUAACCAUGUUGCUAAGCAUAAUUGGGGAUACAAAUUUGCACAAAUAGGCUUACCACAAAUAGGCUUUAAUAAUUAUUAUUAUUAUUUCCAACUGUGAGUUCCUUUAUUUUUCGGUAAAACAUUCCCACAUAUUUGGAAAGACAAAAUGAAUACAUGAAACAUGCAGAGAUAAAGUGCUAAACUUUGGGAAUAUACAGAGCUAAAAAUUAAGACAGUGGCACGAAAGGGGGAAAG
Molecule: long non-coding RNA, 980 nt
Filed under: Canis lupus familiaris (dog)
Lineage: Eukaryota; Metazoa; Chordata; Mammalia; Carnivora; Canidae
Description: lncRNA (ENSCAFG00845012422.1)
Source: RNAcentral